GUCAUCUCUUAAAUCCUACUCCCUCUGUGCCACGGCUUUAUUUUGCCAAAGCCCUAGCUGUGACUGGGAGCCUACAGAUCCACCACCACCUCAGCAGAGAUCCGCUCUAUCUCCCACGCUUCGUUACUGCUGUUUUUCCUGAGUUUGAGGUCAGCUGACCAGCUGCUCCUGAAAGUACAGGGAUCCAAGAGGAAGCUCAGAGGGGACAGGGCCUUUUCUAUCGUGGCUCCUAAAUUAUGGAAUAACUUGCCCUUGCAUGUUAGAGAGAUCCCCUUCACUGUCCACUUUUAAAACAGGUAAUGGCUCCUGCUCUUAAAAUCUGUCUUGGAUAUCAUCAUCAUUGUAAUCUUUACUUAUAAAGCACUUUAAAACAACCACAGCUGAUGCAAAGUUUUGUACAUUGGAACUAAUAAAAUAAAUAAAUAAAAGCCAAAUAAAAGAGAAAAAGUAAUGUGGUGUUAAGCUUGAUGUUGUGAUAAGCUUGUCUGCUGUCUGCGUUUGAUUUUGUUUUAUUCUUUUUUAU
Astatotilapia calliptera (eastern happy) is the source of this 523-nucleotide long non-coding RNA. The record is from Ensembl. NCBI's taxonomy places the organism in Eukaryota, Metazoa, Chordata, Actinopteri, Cichliformes, Cichlidae.